UACGGUCGAUGAUAUUGACACGGACUUUCUCUUGUCAAUUAGGUUUUUUUUUAGGCUAUUGACAAGAUAUCCGCUUGGUGGCGCUGCUUGAGUGACUGACGGCAAAAACAUGAAUGUGCACGAGAGUGCUUUGGCAUUGUGAUAUGUUAGUUACAGAGUUGUUUGUUUUUUUCCUUCGUUGAAGGAUUUCAGUUUAACCUGAAUCAAUUGUUUAUUUCGACUUUCGACAGAUUGUACAGGUUUGCGGCAAGUUGGACAGAUGUAUUCCAGUGUUGUUUGAUUUCGUUCAUGAACUAGUGAUAAAUUUGAAUAGUAUCUUUUUAAAUUAGUGAUAAGAUUAUUUUUACUGUUUGUCAUUAGUUGUUUCCAUCCUUCUUCAGUGAAUAGGUUUUCAAAUGAUUGUAAUACGCUUUGUACAUCAUCUUCGAUAACUGCUGUACUCAUUUGGGUGGCAUGGGUGAGAUGUUUUCGAUCAGCUUUUUGUUGGUUGAGUAACAGGUAGUUAGCUUUCUCUUUUCCUGUUAUCCAUGAAAGAAACACUAGAAGAAUAGUAAUUCUUAGAAUAAAAUGUAUAGAAUUUUCAAAUUAUCAUGUAGUUUAUACUUCUAUUUUUCUCGUGUGAUUUUUUUUUUUCAGGAAUGGUUUGGGACUGUACUUGUAUUUAUCAAGCUUUUUAGUUGUUCUUGGUUUACCCUGUCGUCUUUUUAUGUUUACAAGUUUCAAUUGUUUUAGUUUCUUCAAUCUUUCACUCUUUUUUUUGUUGACGUCAGGUACGACUACGAGUUCAUUCACUACUUCUGUGAUUUGUUGAACCUCUGUUUCCAUUAGCUUUUGUUCAUCUAUAUUAUGCUGAUUGGAAUUUAGUUCUUUCGCCAUUUUCGUGAUAUCGUCUGUAGUUGGAAAAUGAGAUUUCUUCAAUUCUAUUAAUGUUAAGUUAUACACUUUUGCCACAGGUUACCUUCUAUGUUUAAAGCUAGUUGUUCGUGUGUUUCGCAUGCAGUGGAAUUUGGUAUGGCUAUUGGCAUAAAUGGCUCAUUCACAAGGUUGGUUGCCUCUUUCUCUUCUGUUGGUAUGAUCUUUUCGUCUGUAAUUGGAAAACGAAAAAGUUAAAUAAACCGGUUUGUAAGA
Molecule: long non-coding RNA, 1128 nt
Organism: Daphnia pulex (common water flea)
Lineage: Eukaryota; Metazoa; Arthropoda; Branchiopoda; Diplostraca; Daphniidae
Exons: 2
Source: RefSeq, a predicted model, not a curated record